UUAGAGUCUAGUCUUUUAGAGUUUCGAGUUCUGGUCAUAAGUUGUCACGCCGCCGCCGCACCAUCAUCAUCGCCCCUGCCAUCUACCAGCACCGCUUAUCCGCCACCGCUCCGAAUCCGUAUCCAUAUACCACCACCGAUCCAUAUCCAUAUACCACCACCGCUACCACCACCGCUGCCAUAUACCACCACCAUAUAUCCACCACCAAUCCGAGUUCCUUGCAUAUUAGGUUUGUUUUCGAGAUCCAUCUAGAUUCUGAUUCGUGUUUCCUUGCCGGAGUAGGUUUCGGGAAAAAAAAUUCUGGUAGCCACGCUCCGUUUAGGCCCAAAAUUUUUCGAAAACGCAUUUUUCGAAAAAAUUUCUGGCUAUCCUAUUUUUAGGUGUUUCUGAGUGUUUUGAGACAGGUGCCAUUAUAGGAAGUUUUUUUUGACCCGUUUCCAGCUUUUGGGUCCGGGCAGUCAAAAAAAAAAAUUGGUCAAAAAAAAAAUUGGUCAAAAAAAAAUUUCGUGCCCAUCCUGUCAGUUUGAGCUAAGAAGAGUUUUGAGACACUCGCCAUUAUAGUGAUUUUNNNNNNNNNNNNNNNNNNNNNNNNNNNNNNNNNNNNNNNNNNNNNNNNNNNNNNNNNNNNNNNNNNNNNNNNNNNNNNNNNNNNNNNNNNNNNNNNNNNNUGGCACCUGUCUCAAAACACUCAGAAACACCUAAAAAUAGGAUAGCCAGAAAUUUUUUCGAAAAAUGCGUUUUCGAAAAAUUUUGGGCCUAAACGGAGCGUGGCUACCCGACUCUUUUUUUUUUCGAAACCUACUCCGGCAAGGAAACACGAAUCGGAAUCUAGAUGGAUCUCGAAAACAAACCUAAUAUGACAAGAACUUGGAUUGGUGGUGGAUAUAUGGUGGUAGAUGGCAGAGGUGGUGGUAUAUGACAGCUGUGGUGGUAUAUGGAUACGGAUUCGAAGCGGUGGCGGAUAAACGGUGGUGGUAGAUGGCAGGGGCGAUGAUGAUGGUGCGGCGGCGGCGUGACAACUUAUGACCAGAACUCGAAACUCUAAAAGACUAGACUCUAAGACCAGCAACUAGACACGACGAUGCAACCGCAAAUUCAACAAAGCAAAACCCUAAAAAGAUUAUGCAAAGGCUCAGAUUGGUUCGGAUAUGAUGAACUAACCCUAAUUUUUUUUGUGGCUUUUUCGUGGACUGUAGGUAUGAAGAACACACUCGAUCUAAACUACGAAAAACUGUAAAAUCUCACCGAGCAACCUGGAAAUCUGAUACCACUUGAUAGAGGCAAAGGUGUCCCGUCUUUCGAUGAGAUGAUGGAUUUCGCUUUGGUGGAAGUCGACUUUGACGAUCCGACUACGAACGUGCGAGGACGUCGCGCCUUAGCAAUCGCUAAACCAACUCCGAGAGGUUAUUGACCACGCCGGAGCACGAUCAACCUGACCACGAGGGUCUGUUUCCUGCGAGCAAACGAAGAACAAGCAAGAAACUGAGAUUGCAAUCUGGAUAUUGCGAUUAUAAGAUGAAAGCUUUAUUGAUCAAGGUGGGGUUCUGUGACGCCUUUGUCUGGUCGUUGAACACAAACGAAGUACGCGAAGUUGCAGCUAUGGCAAACUUUUAAUCUAAACAAAACCCAAAGUCUAAACGAUGCCCUAAGGGCUAUAUAUAUGGAGGAAGAGGGGGGAAUUUCGUGGCCCUUGGUGGAGGGGUCCGAAAUCAACCCUAUCUCUUGUUUCCCCACACAUACGGACUCUAAAAAUAGCCUAUACUUAUGUAUUUCGAAAUUACAUGGGCAUGGCCCAAUAAUAAGGUGAUGCAGCACCUAAAAUAGCCUCGGGACGAAAUUUAUGAAGUGGCAUCUUGUAUAUUUCGUCCAAGGCUUCAUGCACCCAUUAUGGUGGCUUCAAAGUCCUGAAAUCAUCACUUGUAACUCCGUUCUUGUUCCCCUUGCGCAUGCCAUCAUCUCCAUGCUUGUUCUUGCUCCAAUGUUCAUCCUUCUCCAAGCUAGGCCCUUCAUUUGUAAGCAAAACAAAUGUAUCCAAUUUAGGCAGCAUCAUAUUCUCAUGAACAUUAGAAUCAUUACCAAGAAACGAAAGUACCUGGUAAUUUAGUUGGCGUUCACGAGCUCUAGUAAUUGGUCCAGUAUGUAUAGCAGCAGGGGCUGUGGGUGUAACAAUUGUAUUGAUUUCCUCAUCACUUUAGAAACAUGGCAACAUUAUUUAUGGCCCAAAGAAUUUGUUAUACAUUCUGAUCAUGAAUCUUUGAAACAUAUUAAAAGUCAAGCUAAACUGAAUCGUAGACAUGCUAAAUGGGUUGAAUUCAUUGAGACUUUCCCUUAUGUCAUUAAACACAAGAAGGGAAAAGAAAAUGUUAUUGCUGAUGCAUUGUCUCGUCGCUAUACUAUGCUUUCACAACUUGACUUCAAAAUAUUUGGUUUAGAGACCAUCAAAGAUCAAUAUGUGCAUGAUGCUGAUUUUAAAGAUGUAAUGCAGAAUUGUAAAGAAGGAAGAAUGUGGAACAAGUUUGUUGUUAACGAUGGAUUUGUGUUUCGUGCUAACAAGCUAUGCAUUCCAGCUAGCUCCGUUCGUCUUUUGUUGUUGCAGGAGGCGCAUGGAGGAGGAUUAAUGGGAAACUUUGGCGUGAAGAAGACGGAGGACGUACUUGCUACACAUUUCUUUUGGCCAAAGAUGAGACGGGAUGUUGAGCCUUUUAUUGCUCGCUGCACUACAUGUCAAAAAGCUAAGUCACGACUCAAUCCUCAUGGUUUAUAUAUGCCUUUGCCUGUACCUAGUGUUCCUUGGGAGGAUAUAUCUAUGGACUUUGUUUUAGGUUUACCUCGAACAAAGAAGGGGAGGGAUAGCAUAUUUGUUGUCGUGGAUAGAUUCUCGAAAAUGGCACACUUUAUACCAUGUCAUAAAAGCGAUGAUGCUGUUAAUGUUGCUGAUUUGUUCUUUCGUGAAAUUAUUCGCUUGCAUGGUGUGCCAAAUACUAUUGUUUCAGAUCGUGAUACUAAAUUUCUUAGCCACUUUUGGAGAUGUUUAUGGGCUAAGUUGGGGACUAAACUGCUUUUUAGUACUACUUGUCACCCCCAAACUGAUGUACAAACUGAAGUAGUCAAUAGAACGUUGUCUACUAUGCUUAGGGCUGUUUUGAAGAAUAAUAAGAAAAUGUGGGAGGAAUGCUUGCCUCAUAUUGAAUUUGCUUAUAAUCGUUCAUUGCAUUCUACUACUAAGAUGUGCCCUUUUGAAGUUGUGUAUGGUUUCCUACCUCGUGCACCUAUUGAUUUGUUGCCUCUUCCAUCUUCGGAGAAGGUUAAUUUUGAUGCUAAACAACGUGCUGAAUUGAUUUUAAAAAUGCAUGAGUUAACUAAGGAAAACAUUGAGCGCAUGAAUGCUAAAUAUAAACUUGCUGGAGAUAAGGGUAGAAAACAUGUUGUGUUUGCACCUGGAGAUCUUGUUUGGUUACAUUUGCGUAAGGAUAGAUUUCCUGAUUUGCGCAAAUCAAAGUUAAUGUCACGUGCUGAUGGUCCCUUUAAGGUGUUAGAGAAAAUAAAUGAUAAUGCAUAUAAACUUGAGCUGCCUGCAGAUUUUGGGGUUAGUCCCACUUUUAACAUUGCAGAUUUGAAGCCUUAUUUGGGUGAGGAAGAUGAACUUCCGUCGAGGACGACUUCAUUUCAAGAAGGGGAGGAUGAUGAGGACAUCAAUACAAUUGUUACACCCACAGCCCCUGCUGCUAUACAUACUGGACCAAUUACUAGAGCUCGUGCACGCCAACUAAAUUACCAGGUACUUUCGUUUCUUGGUAAUGAUUCUAAUGUUCAUGAGAAUAUGAUGUUGCCUAAAUUGGAUACAUUUGUUUUGCUUACAAAUGAAGGGCCUAGCUUGGAGAAGGAUGAACAUUGGAGCAAGAACAAGCAUGGAGAUGAUGGCAUGCGCAAGGGGAACAAGAACGGAGUUACAAGUGAUGAUUUCAGGACUUCGAAGCCACCAUAAUGGGUGCAUGAAGCCUUGGACGAAAUAUACAAGAUGCCACUUCACAAAUUUCGUCCCGAGGCUAUUUUAGGUGCUGCGUCACCUUAUUAUUAGGCCAGGCCCAUGUAAUUUCGAAAUACAUAAGUAUAGGCUAUUUUUAGAGUCCGUAUGUGUGGGGAAACAAGAGAUAGGGUUGAUUUCGGACCCCUCCACCAAGGGCCACGAAAUCCCCCCCCCUCUUCCUCCAUAUAUACAGCCCUUAGGGCAUCGUUUAGACUUUGGGUUUUAUUUAGAUUAAAAGUUCGCCAUAGCUGCAACUUCGCGUACUUCGUUUGUGUUCAACGACCAGACAAAGGCGUCACAGAACCCCACCUUGAUCAAUAAAGCUUUCAUCUUAUAUUCGCAAUAUCCAGAUUGCAAUCUCAGUUUCUUGCUUGUUCUUCGUUUGCUCGCAGGAAACAGACCCUCGUGGUCAGGUUGAUCAUGCUCCGGCGUGGUCAAUAACCUCUCGGAGUUGGUUUAGCGAUUGCUAAGGCGCGACGUCCUCGCACGUUCGUAGUCGGAUCGUCAAAGUAGACUUCCACCAAAUCGAAAUCCAUCAUCUCAUCGAAAGACGGGACACCUCCGCCUCUAUCACUAGAGAAACAGAUUACAUGGUAAAAGUAGAAUGCACAAUUCACUAGAAUUUGUUAAGGAAAGGCAGUAGCUAGCAAACUAAACAUGGGUCCUUAUAGUGAGCUAAUAAGACAAGCUACUCCUUGCCGCCGGAGAUAUCGAUGAUGAUUGGCUCCUUGGACAUGGAAGAGGGCGAGGCCUCCGCAUCAUGGGUGCUCUUGUCAUAGUGGUGAGUAGCCUAAGCCGCCCCAUGCACCAACCUGCUAGCUCUCGAGUUGAGGUAAGCACGUGCACGCUGAGAAAACACCUCGUAGUCUUCGUCGAAGGCACCGAGGUUGGCCUCGAGAAAACGCCACAAACUUUCAUUUAAAGCUGCCAACCGCGUCACGGUGUCGAUGGUGGCCUUGAUGGCAAGGUGAUCCUCCAAGAUCUGGGGGUCGGCACGAAUGGCAGCCAUCAUGACCUCAUCCACGCGUGCGGCCGUGAUUUGCUUCUCCGCUGCCAAAUGCUCCUUGAGCUUCUAGCUAUACUGCAUGCACCAUGGCUUAGGGCGGCGCUUAUUUGGUGGAGGGGUCAGUGAUUUGGGUGGAAGGUGUCACGCCAGCGGUCGGGGCAUGUGGGAUGUGGAAGGAGGAGGAGGAUGGGGUCGAUUGUGGAUUACCUGCCUGGAUAGAUGAGGCCGAGCAGCGUGAAGAAGGGUCGCCGACAAGGAGGUGGCGCUGCAAGCAAGGAGUGAAGGUUUAAACUUGGAAAGGAAGGCGGAAUAGGGUAAAUGUGGCUUUUGGUAAGGGGGAGGGGGCGGGGAGGUGGAUAUUUUCACGGAAGCCGAAAAUUUUGAAUCAGUUUAGCGAAAAAACUGGCGCGCAAAGUGUCAUCAGACACGUUCCCUUAUUCAGAACUGUGUACGAUAUGUGAACAUCAGAAACUAUUCAGAUAGCUUAACCCAUGUGUGAUAGUUUGAAUGUCAAAAAAAUUGGUUCAAAUUUCCCUGGUUAUAGUGGUCAUCCACGUCAUUGCAUAAUUUGGGUACACAAAGGAGACUACAGCACACCCACACUUCAUAAUCGAGCAAGUUCAGUAAUUAAAUAGAGCUAGCUAACCUAAACAUUACUCUAACAAAUUAAAGACCGGCGCACUUAAUUAAACAAAACAGAGAGUACUACUAUGGUUGGUGCUCAUCGAUCUCCGCCACCUCCUCCAUGUCGAGCUCGCGCCCGACGGUCUCCUGGGGAAGGGGCUCCAUGGCAUCCAUCACACCAUAAUUGGCAAGCAUCUUGCCAUUCGCGUCCGCCAUCUCUUUGGAAAAGGCCGCCGCAAGCUAGGAGUGGGUGGUCACGAUCUGGGCUUGGACGGGCUCCGUCUAGGCAAGGUAUGCGGGGGAGGAACGAACGGCUGCUCGAACGCUCUCGGCGAUUGCCAACUCUUCGGCCGUGGGUUGCCUACCGUUUUCGGAGAAUCUUCGUUUGAUUUGUGCGGUGACCGCCACGAGCUGGGCGUGGCAGCCUUGACAUGGUCGUGGGCGGCCUCCAUCAGGGCUAAGGCUGCUGCUGCGGAAUGGAUAGCUGCUGUGCCGCUCUCGCCAGUUGCUAUCCCCACGGCAGAUGUUGCUGCCGCCACCUGAGAAGCAACAAUGGCCGUUUGGGCUACCUUGGCCGCCCGGUCGCAGAUUGCGGUCGCGCUCAUGCACCUUGUUAGCAUGCGCAUGGAGGCUGCGGCCGUGCUCUCGCCGGAGUGGGCCGCUGAUGAGGACAUCAAUACCAUUGUUACACCCAUAGCCCCUGCUGCUAUACAUACUGGACCAAUUACUAGAGCUCGCGCACGCCAACUAAAUUACCAGGUACUUUCGUUUCUUGGUAAUGAUUCUAAUGUUCAUGAGAAUAUGAUGCUGCCUAAAUUGGAUACAUUUGUCUUGCUUACAAAUGAAGGGCCUAGCUUGGAGAAGGAUGAACAUUGGAGCAAGAACAAACAUGGAGAUGAUGGCAUGCGCAAGGGGAACGAGAACGGAGUUACAAGUGAUGAUUUCAGGACUUUGAAGCCACCAUAAUGAGUGCAUGAAGCCUUGGACGAAAUAUACAAGAUGCCACUUCAUAAAUUUCGUCCAAAGGCUAUUCUAGGUGCUGCGUCACCUUAUUAUUGGGCCAGGCCCAUGUAAUUUCGAAAUACAUAAGUAUAGGCUAUUUUUAGAGUCCGUAUGUGUGGGGAAACAAGAGAUAGGGUUAGUUUCGGACCCCUCCACCAAGGGCCACGAAAUUCACCCCCUCUUCCUCCAUAUAUACAGCCCUUAGGGCACCGUUUAGACUUUGGGUUUUGUUUAGAUUAAAGUUCGCCAUAGCUGCAACUUCGCGUACUUCGUUUGUGUUCAACGACCAGACAAAGGCGUCACAGAACCCCACCUUGAUCAAUAAAGCUUUCAUCUUAUAUUCGCAAUAUCCAGAUUACAAUCUCAGUUUCUUCCUUGUUCUUCGUUUGCUUGCAGGAAGCAGACCCUCGUGGUCAGGUUGAUCGUGCUCCGGCGUGGUAAAUAACCUCUCGGAGUUGGUUUAGCGAUUGCUAAGGCGCGACGUCCUUGCACGUUCGUAGUCAGAUCGUCAAAGUCAACUUCCACCAAAGCGAUAUCCAUCAUCUCAUCGAAAGACGGGACACCUUUGCCUCUAUCAAGUGGUAUCAUAUUUCCAGGUUGCUCGGUGAGAUUUUAUAGUUUUUCGUAGUUUAGAUCGAGUUUGUUCUUCAUACCUACAGUCCACGAAAAAGCCACAAAAAAAAUUAGGGUUAGUUCAUCAUAUCCGAACCAAUCUGAGCCUUUGCAUAAUCUUUUUAGGGUUUUGCUUUGUUGAAUUUGCGGUUGCAUCGUCGUGUCUAGUUGCUGGUCUUAGGGUUUAGUCUUUUAGAGUUUCGAGUUCUGGUCAUAAGUUGUCACGCUGCUACCGCACCAUCAUCAUCGCCCCUGCCAUCUACCACCACCGCUUCGAAUCCGUAUCCAUAUACCACCACCAAUCCGUAUCCAUAUACCACCAUCGAUCCAUAUCCAUAUACCACCACCGCUGCCAUAUACCACCACCAUAUAUCUAUCACCAAUCCGAGUUCCUUGCAUAUUAGGUUUGUUUUCGGGAUCCAUCUAAUUUCCGAUUUGUGUUUCCUUGUCUGAGUAGGUUUCGGAUUCCAGCAAUCUUUUGCCGUCCGUAGAAGAGGUUAGUCC
Molecule: long non-coding RNA, 7775 nt
Filed under: Triticum aestivum (bread wheat)
Lineage: Eukaryota; Viridiplantae; Streptophyta; Magnoliopsida; Poales; Poaceae
Description: long non-coding RNA (TAES_LNC018882)
Source: RNAcentral